RNAcentral lists this ribosomal RNA (473 nucleotides) under Escherichia coli. Its description in RNAcentral is "partial 23S ribosomal RNA". It matches the Rfam family "Bacterial large subunit ribosomal RNA", at positions 2322 to 2794 of the family's 2925-position model. The record is from RNAcentral. Lineage: Bacteria; Pseudomonadati; Pseudomonadota; Gammaproteobacteria; Enterobacterales; Enterobacteriaceae.
UAAUCCUGGUCGGACAUCAGGAGGUUAGUGCAAUGGCAUAAGCCAGCUUGACUGCGAGCGUGACGGCGCGAGCAGGUGCGAAAGCAGGUCAUAGUGAUCCGGUGGUUCUGAAUGGAAGGGCCAUCGCUCAACGGAUAAAAGGUACUCCGGGGAUAACAGGCUGAUACCGCCCAAGAGUUCAUAUCGACGGCGGUGUUUGGCACCUCGAUGUCGGCUCAUCACAUCCUGGGGCUGAAGUAGGUCCCAAGGGUAUGGCUGUUCGCCAUUUAAAGUGGUACGCGAGCUGGGUUUAGAACGUCGUGAGACAGUUCGGUCCCUAUCUGCCGUGGGCGCUGGAGAACUGAGGGGGGCUGCUCCUAGUACGAGAGGACCGGAGUGGACGCAUCACUGGUGUUCGGGUUGUCAUGCCAAUGGCACUGCCCGGUAGCUAAAUGCGGAAGAGAUAAGUGCUGAAAGCAUCUAAGCACGAAACU